ACGGGAGGCAGCAGUGAGGAAUAUUGGUCAAUGGACGGAAGUCUGAACCAGCCAUGCCGCGUGCAGGAAUAAGGCCCUAUGGGUCGUAAACUGCUUUUGUGGUGGAGCAAUGAGGCGUACGUGUACGUCGAUGAGAGUACAUCACGAAUAAGCAUCGGCUAACUCCGUGCCAGCAGCCGCGGUAAUACGGAGGAUGCAAGCGUUAUCCGGAUUUAUUGGGUUUAAAGGGUGCGUAGGCUGUGCGGCAAGUCAGGGGUGAAAGCCCGUCGCCUAACGACGGAACUGCCUUUGAUACUGUCGCGCUGGAAUACGGAUGCCGUGGGAGGAAUGAGUAGUGUAGCGGUGAAAUGCAUAGAUAUUACUCAGAACACCGAUUGCGAAGGCAUCUCACGAAGCAGGUAUUGACGCUGAGGCACGAAAGCGUGGGGAUCGAACAGGAUUAGAUACCCUGGUA
This 454-nucleotide ribosomal RNA is filed under the name uncultured Rikenella sp. Its description in RNAcentral is "bacterial SSU rRNA". It matches the Rfam family "Bacterial small subunit ribosomal RNA", at positions 341 to 792 of the family's 1533-position model. Lineage: Bacteria; Pseudomonadati; Bacteroidota; Bacteroidia; Bacteroidales; Rikenellaceae. The record is from RNAcentral.